This 119-nucleotide ribosomal RNA is filed under the name Schistocephalus solidus. Lineage: Eukaryota; Metazoa; Platyhelminthes; Cestoda; Diphyllobothriidea; Diphyllobothriidae. The record is from RNAcentral.
GAUAGUGAGCUGACCACGUAGAUAGCACCAGUUUUCUUUAAAUUACCGAAGUUAGACUACAUUGGGCCCCGUUAGUAUUUGAAUGGGUGACCGGUUGGAAAUACCGGGUUUUGAUGACA